This 468-nucleotide ribosomal RNA is filed under the name uncultured bacterium. Its description in RNAcentral is "partial 16S ribosomal RNA". It matches the Rfam family "Bacterial small subunit ribosomal RNA", at positions 28 to 507 of the family's 1533-position model. The record is from RNAcentral.
GACGAACGCUGGCGGCGUGCUUAACACAUGCAAGUCGAACGGAAAGGCCCUGCUUUUGUGGGGUGCUCGAGUGGCGAACGGGUGAGUAACACGUGAGUAACCUGCCCUUGACUUUGGGAUAACUUCAGGAAACUGGGGCUAAUACCGGAUAGGAGCUCCUGCUGCAUGGUGGGGGUUGGAAAGUUUCGGCGGUUGGGGAUGGACUCGCGGCUUAUCAGCUUGUUGGUGGGGUAGUGGCUUACCAAGGCUUUGACGGGUAGCCGGCCUGAGAGGGUGACCGGCCACAUUGGGACUGAGAUACGGCCCAGACUCCUACGGGAGGCAGCAGUGGGGAAUAUUGCACAAUGGGCGGAAGCCUGAUGCAGCAACGCCGCGUGCGGGAUGACGGCCUUCGGGUUGUAAACCGCUUUCGCCUGUGACGAAGCGUGAGUGUCGGUAAUGGGUAAAGAAGCACCGGCUAACUACGUC